UGCCGGGUCUUCUAAUGGCAGGAAAGUGGACUCUGAAUCCAUUAAUCUAGGUUCGAAUCCUAGCCCGGCAACUA
Molecule: transfer RNA, 74 nt
Filed under: Candidatus Spechtbacteria bacterium RIFCSPHIGHO2_02_FULL_43_15b
Lineage: Bacteria; Candidatus Spechtiibacteriota
Description: tRNA-Gln
Rfam family: tRNA
About the family: Transfer RNA (tRNA) molecules are approximately 80 nucleotides in length. Their secondary structure includes four short double-helical elements and three loops (D, anti-codon, and T loops). Further hydrogen bonds mediate the characteristic L-shaped molecular structure. tRNAs have two regions of fundamental functional importance: the anti-codon, which is responsible for specific mRNA codon recognition, and the 3' end, to which the tRNAs corresponding amino acid is attached (by aminoacyl-tRNA synthetases). tRNAs cope with the degeneracy of the genetic code in two manners: having more than one tRNA (with a specific anti-codon) for a particular amino acid; and 'wobble' base-pairing, i.e. permitting non-standard base-pairing at the 3rd anti-codon position.
Source: RNAcentral